UAGUGGGUCGCCAAAGGGUAAGGCAAUAAGUUUUGAUCUUAAAAUUAUAGGUUUGAAUCCUAUCCCACUAG
This 71-nucleotide transfer RNA is filed under the name Ectyoplasia ferox (brown encrusting octopus sponge). RNAcentral's name for it is "tRNA-Gln". It matches the Rfam family "tRNA". Rfam says of the family: Transfer RNA (tRNA) molecules are approximately 80 nucleotides in length. Their secondary structure includes four short double-helical elements and three loops (D, anti-codon, and T loops). Lineage: Eukaryota; Metazoa; Porifera; Demospongiae; Axinellida; Raspailiidae. The record is from RNAcentral.